UACGAAGGGGGCUAGCGUUGCUCGGAAUCACUGGGCGUAAAGCGCACGUAGGCGGAUCUUUAAGUCAGGGGUGAAAUCUUGGAGCUCAACUCCAGAACUGCCUUUGAUACUGGGGAUCUCGAGUCCGGAAGAGGUGAGUGGAACUCCGAGUGUAGAGGUGAAAUUCGUAGAUAUUCGGAAGAACACCAGUGGCGAAGGCGGCUCACUGGUCCGGUACUGACGCUGAUGUGCGAAAGCGUGGGGAGCAAACAGGG
RNAcentral lists this ribosomal RNA (254 nucleotides) under uncultured bacterium. Its description in RNAcentral is "partial 16S ribosomal RNA". It matches the Rfam family "Bacterial small subunit ribosomal RNA", at positions 524 to 777 of the family's 1533-position model. The record is from RNAcentral.